RNAcentral lists this ribosomal RNA (220 nucleotides) under uncultured bacterium. RNAcentral's name for it is "partial 16S ribosomal RNA". It matches the Rfam family "Bacterial small subunit ribosomal RNA", at positions 524 to 741 of the family's 1533-position model. The record is from RNAcentral.
UACGGAGGGUGCAAGGCGUUAUCCGGAUUCACUGGGUUAAAGGGUGCGUAGGCGGGCAGGUAAGUCCGUGGUGAAAUCUCUGAGCUUAACUCAGAAACUGCCAUGGAUACUAUUUGUCUUGAAUAUUGUGGAGGUGAGCGGAAUAUGUCAUGUAGCGGUGAAAUGCUUAGAUAUGACAUAGAACACCAAAUUGCGAAGGCAGCUCACUACACAGUUUAUU